RNAcentral lists this ribosomal RNA (446 nucleotides) under uncultured bacterium. Its description in RNAcentral is "partial 16S ribosomal RNA". It matches the Rfam family "Bacterial small subunit ribosomal RNA", at positions 338 to 795 of the family's 1533-position model. The record is from RNAcentral.
CCUACGGGUGGCAGCAGUCGAGAAUCAUUCACAAUGGGGGAAACCCUGAUGGUGCGACGCCGCGUGGGGGAAUGAAGGUCUUCGGAUUGUAAACCCCUGUCAUGUGGGAGCAAAUUAAAAAGAUAGUACCACAAGAGGAAGAGACGGCUAACUCUGUGCCAGCAGCCGCGGUAAUACAGAGGUCUCAAGCGUUGUUCGGAAUCACUGGGCGUAAAGCGUGCGUAGGCUGUUUCGUAAGUCGUGUGUGAAAGGCGCGGGCUCAACCCGCGGACGGCACAUGAUACUACGAGACUAGAGUAAGGGAGGGGGAACCGGAAUUCUCGGUGUAGCAGUGAAAUGCGUAGAUAUCGAGAGGAACACUCGUGGCGAAGGCGGGUUCCUGGACAUUAACUGACGCUGAGGCACGAAGGCCAGGGGAGCGAAAGGGAUUAGAUACCCUUGUAGUC